AUAUUGCGCAAUGGAGGGAACUCUGACGCAGCGACGCCGCGUGAGCGAUGAAGGUCUNNNGAUCGNAAAGCUCUGUCCUUUGGNAAGNAGGGAGCCGUAAGGCUUCUUGACGGUACCCAUGGAGGAAGCCCCGGCUAACUACGUGCCAGCAUCCGCGGUAAUACGUAGGGGGCAAGCGUUGUCCGGAAUUAUUGGGCGUAAAGUGUGCGUAGGCGGCCCUUUAAGUCAGAUGUGAAAGCCCACGGCUUAACCGUGGGACUGCAUUUGAAACUGGAGGGCUUGAGUGUCGGAGAGGGCAGUGGAAUUCCCAGUGUAGCGGUGGAAUGCGUAGAUAUUGGGAGGAACACCAGUGGCGAAGGCGACUGCCUGGACGAUAACUGACGCUGAGGCACGAAAGCUAGGGGAGCAAAC
This 411-nucleotide ribosomal RNA is filed under the name uncultured bacterium. RNAcentral describes it as "partial 16S ribosomal RNA". It matches the Rfam family "Bacterial small subunit ribosomal RNA", at positions 361 to 773 of the family's 1533-position model. The record is from RNAcentral.